GAGAAUUUUUCACAAUGGGCGCAAGCCUGAUGGAGCGACGCCGCGUGGGGGAUGAAGGGCUUCGGCUCGUAAACCCCUGUCAGUUGCGAACAAACCUCCGGGGAUAACACCCUCGGAGUUGAUGGUAGUGACAGAGGAAGGGACGGCUAACUCUGUGCCAGCAGCCGCGGUAAUACAGAGGUCCCGAGCGUUGUUCGGAUUUACUGGGCGUAAAGGGUGCGUAGGCGGUGAGGCCAGUCUGAUGUGAAAUCCCCGGGCUCAACCAGGGAACGGCAUCGGAAACUGCUUGACUAGAGUGUUGGAGGGGGGACUGGAAUUCCCGGUGUAGCAGUGAAAUGCGUAGAUAUCGGGAGGAACGCCAGUGGCGAAGGCGAGUCCCUGGACAACAACUGACGCUGAGGCACGAAAGCUAGGGGAGCAAACA
RNAcentral lists this ribosomal RNA (424 nucleotides) under uncultured prokaryote. RNAcentral describes it as "bacterial SSU rRNA". It matches the Rfam family "Bacterial small subunit ribosomal RNA", at positions 357 to 774 of the family's 1533-position model. The record is from RNAcentral.